RNAcentral lists this ribosomal RNA (259 nucleotides) under uncultured bacterium. RNAcentral's name for it is "partial 16S ribosomal RNA". It matches the Rfam family "Bacterial small subunit ribosomal RNA", at positions 793 to 1055 of the family's 1533-position model. The record is from RNAcentral.
GUCCACGCAGUAAACGAUGAUUACUAGCUGUUUGCGAUACAAUGUAAGUGGCUAAGGGAAACCGAUAAGUAAUCCACCUGGGGAGUACGUUCGCAAGAAUGAAACUCAAAGGAAUUGACGGGGGCCCGCACAAGCGGAGGAACAUGUGGUUUAAUUCGAUGAUACGCGAGGAACCUUACCCGGGCUUGAAAUGCAGAAGACGAAUCAGGAAACUGAUUUUCCAGCAAUGGCUUCUGUGUAGGUGCUGCAUGGUUGUCGU